RNAcentral lists this ribosomal RNA (484 nucleotides) under uncultured bacterium. Its description in RNAcentral is "partial 16S ribosomal RNA". It matches the Rfam family "Bacterial small subunit ribosomal RNA", at positions 30 to 508 of the family's 1533-position model. The record is from RNAcentral.
AUUGAACGCUGGCGGCGGGCCUAACACAUGCAAGUCGAGCGGAUGAAGGGAGCUUGCUCCUGGAUUCAGCGGCGGACGGGUGAGUAAUGCCUAGGAAUCUGCCUGGUAGUGGGGGAUAACGUCCGGAAACGGGCGCUAAUACCGCAUACGUCCUGAGGGAGAAAGUGGGGGAUCUUCGGACCUCACGCUAUCAGAUGAGCCUAGGUCGGAUUAGCUAGUUGGUGGGGUAAAGGCCUACCAAGGCGACGAUCCGUAACUGGUCUGAGAGGAUGAUCAGUCACACGGACAAUAGAACACGGCCCAACCUCCGACGGGAGCCGGCGGUGGGGAUUAUUGGAAAAGGGGGGAAAGCUUGAUCCAGCCAUGCCGGGUGGGUGAAAAAGGUCUUGGGAUUGAAAAGAUUUUAAAGUUGGGGGAAAGGAAAAUAAGUUAAUACCUUGCUUUUUGCGCGUACCAAAAAAAAUAGACCCGGGCAAGUUUGGUC